This 252-nucleotide ribosomal RNA is filed under the name uncultured bacterium. RNAcentral's name for it is "partial 16S ribosomal RNA". It matches the Rfam family "Bacterial small subunit ribosomal RNA", at positions 524 to 775 of the family's 1533-position model. The record is from RNAcentral.
UACGUAGGGUGCAAGCGUUAAUCGGAAUUACUGGGCGUAAAGCGUGCGCAGGCGGUUAUGCAAGACAGAUGUGAAAUCCCCGGGCUUAACCUGGGAACCGCAUUUGUGACUGCAUAGCUGGAGUACGGCAGAGGGGGAUGGAAUUCCGCGUGUAGCAGUGAAAUGCGUAGAUAUGCGGAGGAACACCGAUGGCGAAGGCAAUCCCCUGGGCCUGCACUGACGCUCAUGCACGAAAGCGUGGGGAGCAACAGG